This is a long non-coding RNA of Heterocephalus glaber (naked mole-rat), 312 nucleotides long. The record is from Ensembl. NCBI's taxonomy places the organism in Eukaryota, Metazoa, Chordata, Mammalia, Rodentia, Bathyergidae.
CGCCUCACUAAGUAGGCUGAGCAGAUUCCGAGCACCUACUGCUACUUCGGUGUCCUCUCUAGAUCUGUGCAGCCAUCAUGUCCGGCUGGAGUUUCUCCACUUGGCAGAUGAGAAACUGACCUAUCGCUUGGAGCCUUAUGGGGUGGAUAGAAGUGUGGUUAUUCCUACCGGCAGCCUCAAAACCUUUGGAGUAAGGUGGGAUCGAUGCUAUACGGAGGGGAUAAUGGCAUGGACAACCAGAGUGGCCCUGUACUUGCCUUGUCACAGGUCUAGGAGGAGAGACUGAGGCCAGACUUCCUGGAACAACUCCCU